GUAUGUGAUCCAAAGAGCCUACUUUUCUUGUUUGGAAUGCAAUUGGACUACAGUGACGCACUUAUUGGUGGGGGCUUCUCUUUCAAGAAUCCAAAUGCUACACAAACAUGUGGUUGUGGGAAAUCAUUUGCUGCAGAAAUGUAGGACCAUCAUUUGUAUAUAUGAAUGAUUCAAUAGAAACUUGAUAAUUUCAGGUUAGAGAAAACUUAGAAUGUGAAAAAACUCCUGGUUUGCUUGACCAUUGAUCCUAAUAGUAUGUAUACCUUCUAUUACAA
This 275-nucleotide unclassified non-coding RNA is filed under the name Hevea brasiliensis (rubber tree). Lineage: Eukaryota; Viridiplantae; Streptophyta; Magnoliopsida; Malpighiales; Euphorbiaceae. The record is from RNAcentral.